CACCUACGGAAGUAAUUGUUACAAUCCGUGCACAUGCGUUAAGGAGCACACACAUUCCCACAACCAGUCAUGUGACAUAAUCAAUGGAGCAUGCAUGUGCACUGGGAACUGGACGGGUAAAACUUGCGAUCUAUCAGAACAGAUUACACUGGACAUUGACGAUUAAGGUAUCAAUCUAACAUCAGACAGAGAUUUUGCAGUGGUUGCAGAAAAGGUUAAAUUAUCGCUACGGACCUACAUGUUGCGGUUCAUCACACGUUUCAAAAUUGCUAUUAACGAUCUAGGGAAGGGAAGCAUAAUAGUAAACUACACACUUUUCUACAACGACACUGCUGGUGCGGUUACAAAUGUUACCAAAGCACAAUUUGAUCUUGCAAAAGGAACAAGCAUCGAGUAUGACGGCGUGACUGUUAAGGCAA
This is a long non-coding RNA of Dreissena polymorpha, 419 nucleotides long. RefSeq lists it as uncharacterized. NCBI's taxonomy places the organism in Eukaryota, Metazoa, Mollusca, Bivalvia, Myida, Dreissenidae. The record is from RefSeq and is a predicted model, not a curated record. The transcript has 3 exons.